RNAcentral lists this long non-coding RNA (766 nucleotides) under Bos taurus (domestic cattle). Its description in RNAcentral is "long non-coding RNA NONBTAT008177". The record is from RNAcentral. Lineage: Eukaryota; Metazoa; Chordata; Mammalia; Artiodactyla; Bovidae.
GCCCAGUGGCCUCAGGGAAAACCUCAGGUCAGCUAUUUCUGAAGCUUGAUUGUGUCCGAGGAUUUAACUGUUUCUGUAAGUGGUAACUUUUCAGGAAACUCACAGGUAAAGCCGAGGAUUAUCCCUUUCAGUUUGUAAUUCUCAGGCGAUGGAGGCUGUGGAAGUUACAGGCACUGUAUUUCUGUCACUGGACUUUUUAUGAUGUUCAAGAGAAACAGAGAGUUGUCAUUUCUCAUUUGUGAUACUGGUUAUGCAUUUUAUAGCUGAAGUCCCAAAUUUGUAUGAUAUUCACAAGAGUGGACUAAUUUAACCAUCAACCAUAAUGGUGACAUUGAUAAUAAAUUUUACAAGGUUUGCCAACUGUAUUCAAUGUAUUUGAGUCAUUACAUUUUUGUUAACUAGUUCGAAUACUCCAAAUCUUCAUAUCUCAGUAUUUCAUAGACUUUAAAGUUAGUCAGCUUAGCUUUACUUCAGUUAGAAUUUAGAGUUAUAGAUACAUAUGUGCAUGCAAACAAGUUUUUCCUAAAUAGCUUAAUUUCACCAGGGCCCCUAGUGACAGAGCAUAUUUGUUUAGAAUGUCACCAUUUGCCCUGGCCUCCAAACUAGGGGAAUUAUUUGUAUACUAAUGUGAAUUGUAUCCGUGUAACUCUUACAGCUGUUACAGGAUGUUUUUCAACAAUACAAGGUUCACAUUAGUAGUCUAAUGGCAUAACUCUCAUGGAUCAUAAUUGUGUAUUUUAGUCAUAUUUUUGAGAGUGAGAACUCU